AUGACUGAUGGGGAGGUAACAGACUACAGCCAUUUCCUUGAACUGAGGGGAUAUAGCAAUUCAAAGGUCAAAGGUCAAAGGUCAGUCUCUGUUUCCUGCCAGUAUCUUUCACACAACCAUUAUAAGUUGGGGACCGUUUGAUAGAUAAGUUUCCACUGUAGUAAUUUCUUAUUGGGCCUGGCUGGUUCUAAGUCUUACAUUAUGUCCCAGGGAAGCCAGUUCUCUGUAGACUCAGAUCAAAGAGCAUGACUCAAGGUUACACGUGUAAAAGUGAGAGAGCAGAGACGCUGACACAGGCCCCUGUGGCUUAGCAAGAGGCCCCCCUCAGGAGUGGCGAUGGUCAGAGAGGAGAACACAGGCCAAUCUUCCUCAGAGUCUUUUGUUAUUCCUUCUGUGGUUAUUUUUGAGCACCUACUGUGUGCGAGGCAUGUUCUUAGCACUGAAGCUACAACAACAAACAAAAACAAAGUCUUGCCCUCAUCGAGUGCUCUAGACUCAUAGGAAGACUGGCAGCAACCCAAGAGGCAGAUAUUUGACGGUACAGAGUGAAUGCGGCUCUCAAAGUGGAAAAAUCAACAGGAAAGAGGAAUAUAUUCUUACCAGAGAGCCACAGUAUACAGGCUCCCCAGAGUGACGUUUGAAUGGAUGGAGAUGGAGAAGGGGUGAAGGGCCUAGCUACAUAAGCAAAAGAAAAGUUGUAAACUAUAUAUAGUUCUAGAUGAUAAAUAUUUAUGAGUAAUCCCUACAGUUACAGAAAUAUCAUUUGUAGCUUUAAGGCUAGAAAAUGAAAAAGAAUCCAAGCCAGUAGAAGGCAUAAAACAAAGAGAAAGAGAAGAAUUUAAUAAAAUAAGAAAUGUAAAAACAUAUUGUGUGUGUGUGUGUGUGUGUGUGUGUGUGUGUGUGAUUGUGUGUGAAGCAUGGUGAUGGUGACAUGCCUUUAUGUCAUGUCUGUAACAACAGUGUUGUCAAGACUUAGGCAGGAAGAUCGAAAGUUUGAGGCUAACCUAGGCUACGUACUGGGAUGACCCCUCCCUAAAAAUGCCAUUUUUACAAACAAUAUAAAACAAUAGGAUUGGAAUAAUCCUAAAUUUAUUAGAUAUUACUGUGAACAUAAAUGGAUUUAAUUCAAUUAUUACAGACAAAGGAUUUUGGAUCUUUUGAAAC
RNAcentral lists this long non-coding RNA (1164 nucleotides) under Mus musculus (house mouse). RNAcentral's name for it is "long non-coding RNA chr16:91413276-91414440". The record is from RNAcentral. Lineage: Eukaryota; Metazoa; Chordata; Mammalia; Rodentia; Muridae.